AGCGAACGCUGGCGGCAGGCUUAACACAUGCAAGUCGAGCGGGCCCUUCGGGGUCAGCGGCAGACGGGUGAGUAACGCGUGGGAACGUGCCCUUCGGUUCGGAAUAACUCAGGGAAACUUGAGCUAAUACCGGAUACGCCCUUUUGGGGAAAGGCUUGACUGCCGAAGGAUCGGCCCGCGUCUGAUUAGCUAGUUGGUGAGGUUACGGCUCACCAAGGCGACGAUCAGUAGCUGGUCUGAGAGGAUGAUCAGCCACACUGGGACUGAGACACGGCCCAGACUCCUACGGGAGGCAGCAGUGGGGAAUAUUGGACAAUGGGGGCAACCCUGAUCCAGCCAUGCCGCGUGAGUGAUGACGGCCUUAGGGUUGUAAAGCUCUUUUCUCCGGGACGAUAAUGACGGUACCGGAGGAAUAAGCCCCGGCUAACUUCGUGCCAGCAGCCGCAGUAA
Molecule: ribosomal RNA, 450 nt
Filed under: uncultured bacterium
Lineage: Bacteria
Description: partial 16S ribosomal RNA
Rfam family: Bacterial small subunit ribosomal RNA
Source: RNAcentral